Non-coding RNA from Delphinapterus leucas (beluga whale), 459 nucleotides. The record is from RefSeq and is a predicted model, not a curated record. Lineage: Eukaryota; Metazoa; Chordata; Mammalia; Artiodactyla; Monodontidae.
CUCUGGAGUUAGCCAUGCUCAUACCCCGGCGCGGGAAAGCGACACCCCAGUGCGGGUAGCUUUAGCCCCGGAAAUGGGUUGAGAAUUGAACACCGAGCCGACGCCCACAUACGUAGCAGCGUUGCAGCCCGGGAGGGUGGGCGGUACCCCGAGGUCGGUCAUCCGCGGGUGGGCGCCGGGCCCCGACCCCGUUCGCCAUCACCAGACCCAGAGAGGGGACUGCAGAGGUUCAGCCCCCUACCGGGAAGCGGGGACCACAUCUUCCUUUGGGGAUGGUGGGAAGGGGACCCCUUCCAGGGCCCGAGAGUGAGCUCUUGUCUAACACUUGGAAAUGAACUGUCCGAGGAGACACACGUGCUGACAAGCAAGAGACUUUGUUGGGAAGAGGUGCCCGGCUGGAGAGCAGCAGAGCUGUACCGCGUCUUAGUUGCAACAUGCAGGAUCUUCGUCGCGGCACGC